RNAcentral lists this ribosomal RNA (538 nucleotides) under uncultured bacterium. RNAcentral describes it as "bacterial SSU rRNA". It matches the Rfam family "Bacterial small subunit ribosomal RNA", at positions 338 to 851 of the family's 1533-position model. The record is from RNAcentral.
CCUACGGGAGGCAGCAGUGGGGAAUUUUGGACAAUGGGCGCAAGCCUGAUCCAGCCAUGCCGCGUGCGGGAAGAAGGCCUUCGGGUUGUAAACCGCUUUUGUCAGGGAAGAAAAGGUUCUGGUUAAUACCUGGGACUCAUGACGGUACCUGAAGAAUAAGCACCGGCUAACUACGUGCCAGCAGCCGCGGUAAUACGUAGGGUGCAAGCGUUAAUCGGAAUUACUGGGCGUAAAGCGUGCGCAGGCGGUUAUGCAAGACAGAGGUGAAAUCCCCGGGCUCAACCUGGGAACUGCCUUUGUGACUGCAUAGCUAGAGUGCGGCAGAGGGGGAUGGAAUUCCGCGUGUAGCAGUGAAAUGCGUAGAUAUGCGGAGGAACACCGAUGGCGAAGGCAAUCCCCUGGGCCUGCACUGACGCUCAUGCACGAAGACGUGGGGAGGACAAACAAGGAGUAGUAUACCUCGGUAGUACCACCGACCCGUAAACCGAACUAGUACAACUAGGUUGGUUGGGUAGGGUUUCGUUCUCUAGUAACGUAG